GUCUACAGCCACACCACCCUGAACGCGCCCGAUCUCGUCUGAUCUCGGAAGCUAAGCAGGGUCGGGCCUGGUUAAUACUUGGAUGGGAGACCGCCUGGGAAUACCAGGUACUGUAGGCU
Molecule: ribosomal RNA, 119 nt
Filed under: Piliocolobus tephrosceles (Ugandan red Colobus)
Lineage: Eukaryota; Metazoa; Chordata; Mammalia; Primates; Cercopithecidae
Source: RNAcentral